RNAcentral lists this ribosomal RNA (301 nucleotides) under uncultured bacterium. Its description in RNAcentral is "partial 16S ribosomal RNA". It matches the Rfam family "Bacterial small subunit ribosomal RNA", at positions 509 to 807 of the family's 1533-position model. The record is from RNAcentral.
CAGUCGCCACGGGAAUACAGAGGGUGCGAGCGUUAAUCGGAUUUACUGGGCGUAAAGCGUGCGUAGGCGGCUUCUUAAGUCGGAUGUGAAAUCCCUGAGCUUAACUUAGGAAUUGCAUUUGAUACUGGGAAGCUAGAGUAUGGGAGAGGAUGGUAGAAUUCCAGGUGUAGCGGUGAAAUGCGUAGAGAUCUGGAGGAAUACCGAUGGCGAAGGCAGCCAUCUGGCCUAAUACUGACGCUGAGGUACGAAAGCAUGGGGAGCAAACAGGAUUAGAUACCCGUGUAGUCCCUGUCUCUUAUAC